RNAcentral lists this ribosomal RNA (196 nucleotides) under uncultured bacterium. RNAcentral's name for it is "partial 16S ribosomal RNA". It matches the Rfam family "Bacterial small subunit ribosomal RNA", at positions 163 to 353 of the family's 1533-position model. The record is from RNAcentral.
CUAAUACCGCAUGAGACUACAGAGCUGCAUGGCUCAGUGGUCAAAGGAAGCAAUCCGCUGAAAGAUGGACUCGCGUCCGAUUAGAUAGUAGGCGGGGUAACGGGCCCACCUAGUCGACGAUCGGUAGCCGGACUGAGAGGUUGAACGGCCACAUUGGGACUGAGACACGGCCCAGACUCCUACGGGAGGCAGCAUG